RNAcentral lists this ribosomal RNA (651 nucleotides) under uncultured bacterium. RNAcentral describes it as "bacterial SSU rRNA". It matches the Rfam family "Bacterial small subunit ribosomal RNA", at positions 48 to 675 of the family's 1533-position model. The record is from RNAcentral.
CUAACACAUGCAAGUCGAGCGGCAGCGAGUUUACACUGAAUUCUGGAAGCUUCUGGGUAAUAUAGAAGAUUUAUUCAAGAAUUUUGUGUAAAAUGUCGGCGAGCGGCGGACGGCUGAGUAACGCGUAGGAAUUUGCCCCAAAGUGAGGAAUAACUGCCCGAAAGGGUAGCUAAUGCCGCAUAUGGUCUUCGGAUUAAAGCCUUCGGGCGCUUUGGGAGAAGCCUGCGUUGGAUUAGGUAGUUGGUAGGGUAAUGGCCUACCAAGCCGACGAUCCAUAGCUGGUCUGAGAGGAUGAUCAGCCGGACUGGAACUGAGACACGGUCCAGACUCCUACGGGAGGCAGCAGUGAGGAAUCUUCCACAAUGGGCGAAAGCCUGAUGGAGCAACGCCGCGUGAAGGAUGAAGGCCUUCGGGUUGUAAACUUCUUUUAUGAGUGAAGAAUAUGACGGUAACUCAUGAAUAAGCACCGGCUAACUACGUGCCAGCAGCCGCGGUCAUACGUAGGGUGCAAGCAUUAUCCGGAGUGACUGGGCGUAAAGAGUUGCGUAGGCGGUUUAAUAAGUGAAUAGUGAAACCUGGUGGCUCAACCAUACAGACUAUUAUUCAAACUGUUAAACUCGAGAAUGGUAGAGGUAACUGGAAUUUCUAGUG